RNAcentral lists this ribosomal RNA (498 nucleotides) under uncultured bacterium. Its description in RNAcentral is "partial 16S ribosomal RNA". It matches the Rfam family "Bacterial small subunit ribosomal RNA", at positions 28 to 507 of the family's 1533-position model. The record is from RNAcentral.
GACGAACGCUGGCGGCGUGCCUAAUACAUGCAAGUCGAGCGGACGGAUGGGAGCUUGCUCCCAGACCGUCAGCGGCGGACGGGUGAGUAGCACGUGGGCAACCUGCCUGUAAGACUGGGAUAACUCCGGGAAACCGGGGCUAAUACCGGAUAACUCUUUCCCUCACAUGAGGGAAAGCUGAAAGAUGGCAUCUCGCUAUCACUUACAGAUGGGCCCGCGGCGCAUUAGCUAGUUGGUGAGGUAACGGCUCACCAAGGCGACGAUGCGUAGCCGACCUGAGAGGGUGAUCGGCCACACUGGGACUGAGACACGGCCCAGACUCCUACGGGAGGCAGCAGUAGGGAAUCUUCCGCAAUGGACGAAAGUAUGACGGAGCAACGCCGCGUGAGUGAUGAAGGUUUUCGGAUCGUAAAACUCUGUUGUCAGGGAAGAACAAGUACCGGAGUAACUGCCGGUACCUUGACGGUACCUGACCAGAAAGCCACGGCUAACUACGUG